RNAcentral lists this transfer RNA (65 nucleotides) under Pronodularia japanensis. RNAcentral describes it as "tRNA-Trp". The record is from RNAcentral. Lineage: Eukaryota; Metazoa; Mollusca; Bivalvia; Unionida; Unionidae.
AGAGAUUUAAGUUAAUUAAAACUAAUAGCCUUCAAAGCUGUAAUUGAUCACAUAAUCAAUCUCUA